This 1343-nucleotide ribosomal RNA is filed under the name uncultured bacterium. RNAcentral describes it as "16S ribosomal RNA". It matches the Rfam family "Bacterial small subunit ribosomal RNA", at positions 28 to 1378 of the family's 1533-position model. The record is from RNAcentral.
GACGAACGCUGGCGGCGUGCUUAACACAUGCAAGUCGAACGGAAAGGCCCUGCUUUUGUGGGGUGCUCGAGUGGCGAACGGAUGAGUAACACGUGAGUAACCUGCCCUUGACUUUGGGAUAACUUCAGGAAACUGGGGCUAAUACCGGAUAGGAGCUCCUGCUGCAUGGUGGGGGUUGGAAAGUUUCGGCGGUUGGGGAUGGACUCGCGGCUUAUCAGCUUGUUGGUGGGGUAGUGGCUUACCAAGGCUUUGACGGGUAGCCGGCCUGAGAGGGUGACCGGCCACAUUGGGACUGAGAUACGGCCCAGACUCCUACGGGAGGCAGCAGUGGGGAAUAUUGCACAAUGGGCGGAAGCCUGAUGCAGCAACGCCGCGUGCGGGAUGACGGCCUUCGGGUUGUAAACCGCUUUCGCCUGUGACGAAGCGUGAGUGACGGUAAUGGGUAAAGAAGCACCGGCUAACUACGUGCCAGCAGCCGCGGUGAUACGUAGGGUGCGAGCGUUGUCCGGAUUUAUUGGGCGUAAAGGGCUCGUAGGUGGUUGAUCGCGUCGGAAGUGUAAUCUUGGGGCUUAACCCUGAGCGUGCUUUCGAUACGGGUUGACUUGAGGAAGGUAGGGGAGAAUGGAAUUCCUGGUGGAGCGGUGGAAUGCGCAGAUAUCAGGAGGAACACCAGUGGCGAAGGCGGUUCUCUGGGCCUUUCCUGACGCUGAGGAGCGAAAGCGUGGGGAGCGAACAGGCUUAGAUACCCUGGUAGUCCACGCUGUAAACGGUGGGUACUAGGUGUGGGGUCCAUUCCACGGGUUCCGUGCCGUAGCUAACGCUUUAAGUACCCCGCCUGGGGAGUACGGCCGCAAGGCUAAAACUCAAAGGAAUUGACGGGGCCCCGCACAAGCGGCGGAGCAUGCGGAUUAAUUCGAUGCAACGCGUAGAACCUUACCUGGGUUUGACAUGGAUCGGGAGCGCUCAGAGAUGGGUGUGCCUCUUUUGGGGUCGGUUCACAGGUGGUGCAUGGCUGUCGUCAGCUCGUGUCGUGAGAUGUUGGGUUAAGUCCCGCAACGAGCGCAACCCUUGUUCACUGUUGCCAGCACGUUAUGGUGGGGACUCAGUGGAGACCGCCGGGGUCAACUCGGAGGAAGGUGGGGAUGACGUCAAGUCAUCAUGCCCCUUAUGUCCAGGGCUUCACGCAUGCUACAAUGGCUGGUACAGAGAGUGGCGAGCCUGUGAGGGUGAGCGAAUCUCGGAAAGCCGGUCUCAGUUCGGAUUGGGGUCUGCAACUCGACCUCAUGAAGUCGGAGUCGCUAGUAAUCGCAGAUCAGCAACGCUGCGGUGAAUACGUUCCCGGG